Molecule: ribosomal RNA, 468 nt
Filed under: uncultured bacterium
Lineage: Bacteria
Description: partial 16S ribosomal RNA
Rfam family: Bacterial small subunit ribosomal RNA
Source: RNAcentral
GACGAACGCUGGCGGCGUGCUUAACACAUGCAAGUCGAACGGAAAGGCCCUGCUUUUGUGGGGUGCUCGAGUGGCGAACGGGUGAGUAACACGUGAGUAACCUGCCCUUGACUUUGGGAUAACUUCAGGAAACUGGGGCUAAUACCGGAUAGGAGCUCCUGCUGCAUGGUGGGGGUUGGAAAGUUUCGGCGGUUGGGGAUGGACUCGCGGCUUAUCAGCUUGUUGGUGGGGUAGUGGCUUACCAAGGCUUUGACGGGUAGCCGGCCUGAGGGGGUGACCGGCCACAUUGGGACUGAGGUACGGCCCAGAGUCCUACGGGGGGCAGCAGGGGGGAAUAUUGCACAGUGGGCGGAAGCCUGAUGCAGCAACGCCGCGUGCGGAAUGACGGCCUUCGGGUGGAAAACCGCUUUCGCCUGUGACGAAGCGUGAGUGACGGUAAUGGGUGAAGAAGCACCGGCUAACUACGUG